RNAcentral lists this ribosomal RNA (845 nucleotides) under Bacillus subtilis. RNAcentral describes it as "bacterial SSU rRNA". It matches the Rfam family "Bacterial small subunit ribosomal RNA", at positions 55 to 882 of the family's 1533-position model. The record is from RNAcentral. Lineage: Bacteria; Bacillati; Bacillota; Bacilli; Caryophanales; Bacillaceae.
AUGCAGUCGAGCGGACAGAUGGGAGCUUGCUCCCUGAUGUUAGCGGCGGACGGGUGAGUAACACGUGGGUAACCUGCCUGUAAGACUGGGAUAACUCCGGGAAACCGGGGCUAAUACCGGAUGGUUGUUUGAACCGCAUGGUUCAAACAUAAAAGGUGGCUUCGGCUACCACUUACAGAUGGACCCGCGGCGCAUUAGCUAGUUGGUGAGGUAACGGCUCACCAAGGCAACGAUGCGUAGCCGACCUGAGAGGGUGAUCGGCCACACUGGGACUGAGACACGGCCCAGACUCCUACGGGAGGCAGCAGUAGGGAAUCUUCCGCAAUGGACGAAAGUCUGACGGAGCAACGCCGCGUGAGUGAUGAAGGUUUUCGGAUCGUAAAGCUCUGUUGUUAGGGAAGAACAAGUACCGUUCGAAUAGGGCGGUACCUUGACGGUACCUAACCAGAAAGCCACGGCUAACUACGUGCCAGCAGCCGCGGUAAUACGUAGGUGGCAAGCGUUGUCCGGAAUUAUUGGGCGUAAAGGGCUCGCAGGCGGUUUCUUAAGUCUGAUGUGAAAGCCCCCGGCUCAACCGGGGAGGGUCAUUGGAAACUGGGGAACUUGAGUGCAGAAGAGGAGAGUGGAAUUCCACGUGUAGCGGUGAAAUGCGUAGAGAUGUGGAGGAACACCAGUGGCGAAGGCGACUCUCUGGUCUGUAACUGACGCUGAGGAGCGAAAGCGUGGGGAGCGAACAGGAUUAGAUACCCUGGUAGUCCACGCCGUAAACGAUGAGUGCUAAGUGUUAGGGGGUUUCCGCCCCUUAGUGCUGCAGCUAACGCAUUAAGCACUCCGCCUGGGGAGUA